CUCAUGCCCUUAUGACCUGGGCUACACACGUGCUACAAUGGCCGGUACAAAGAGUUGCGAUACCGCGAGGUGGAGCUAAUCUCAUAAAGCCGGUCUCAGUUCGGAUUGGAGUCUGCAACUCGACUCCAUGAAGUUGGAAUCGCUAGUAAUCGCGGAUCAGCAUGCCGCGGUGAAUACGUUCCCGGGCCUU
RNAcentral lists this ribosomal RNA (190 nucleotides) under uncultured Geobacter sp. Its description in RNAcentral is "partial 16S ribosomal RNA". It matches the Rfam family "Bacterial small subunit ribosomal RNA", at positions 1192 to 1382 of the family's 1533-position model. The record is from RNAcentral. Lineage: Bacteria; Pseudomonadati; Thermodesulfobacteriota; Desulfuromonadia; Geobacterales; Geobacteraceae.